RNAcentral lists this ribosomal RNA (471 nucleotides) under uncultured Methanomicrobiales archaeon. Its description in RNAcentral is "bacterial SSU rRNA". It matches the Rfam family "Archaeal small subunit ribosomal RNA", at positions 871 to 1337 of the family's 1478-position model. The record is from RNAcentral. Lineage: Archaea; Methanobacteriati; Methanobacteriota; Methanomicrobia; Methanomicrobiales.
GACGGGGAGCACCACAACAGGUGGAGCCUGCGGUUAAUCGGACUCAACGCCGGGAAACUACACCAGAUAAGACAGCUGAAUGAUAGUCGGGCUGAAGACUCUACUGACUAGCUGAGAGGAGGUGCAUGGCCGUCGUCAGUUCGUACUGUGAAGCAUCCUGUUAAGUCAGGCAACGAGCGAGACCCACGCCAACAGUUGCCAGCUCGUCCUCCGGGAUGGUGGGGGACACUGUUGGGACCGCCUCUGCUAAAGAGGAGGAAGGAAUGGGCAACGGUAGGUCAGCAUGCCCCGAAUUAUCUGGGCUACACGCGGGCUACAAUGGGUGGGACAAUGGGUAUCGACACCGAAAGGUGAAGGCAAUCUCCUAAACCCAUCCGUAGUUCGGAUUGUGGGCUGCAACUCGCCCACAUGAAGCUGGAAUCUGUAGUAAUCGUGUCCCAAAAUGGCACGGUGAAUAUGUCCCUGCUCCUU